RNAcentral lists this ribosomal RNA (311 nucleotides) under uncultured bacterium. RNAcentral's name for it is "bacterial SSU rRNA". It matches the Rfam family "Bacterial small subunit ribosomal RNA", at positions 32 to 353 of the family's 1533-position model. The record is from RNAcentral.
AAUCAACGCUGGCGGCGUGCCUAACACAUGCAAGUCGCACGAGAAAGGGGAGCAAUCCCUGAGUAAAGUGGCGCACGGGUGAGUAACACGUGAAUCAUCUACCUCCGAGUGGGGAAUAACUGAGAGAAAUCUUAGCUAAUACCGCAUAACACUUACGAGUCAAAGCAGCAAUGCGCUUGGAGAGGAGUUCGCGGCCGAUUAGUUAGUUGGCGGGGUAAUGGCCCACCAAGACGAUGAUCGGUAUCCGGCCUGAGAGGGCGCACGGACACACUGGAACUGAAACACGGUCCAGACUCCUACGGGAGGCAGCA